GACGAACGCUGGCGGCGUGCUUAACACAUGCAAGUCGAACGGAAAGGCCCUGCUUUUGUGGGGUGCUCGCGUGGCGAACGGGUGAGUAACACGUGAGUAACCUGCCCUUGACUUUGGGAUAACUUCAGGAAACUGGGGCUAAUACCGGCUACGAGCUCCUGCAGCAUGGUGGGGGUCGGAAAGUUCCGGCGGUUGAGGAUGGACUCGCGGCUUAUCAGCUUGUUGGUGGGGUAGUGGCUUACCAAGGCUUGGACGGUUAGCCGGCCUGGGAGGGUGACCGGCCACAUAGGGACAGGGGAAGGACCCAGAGGGCUAAGUGAGGAAGGGGUGGGGAAUAGAGCACGAUAGGCGAAGCGUGUGGCAACAACGCCGCGUGUGGAAUGACUGCCUACGUGUUGUAAACCGCUGUCGCCUGUGACGAAGCGUGAGUGACGGUAAUAAGUGAAGAAGCACCGGCUAACUACGUG
RNAcentral lists this ribosomal RNA (467 nucleotides) under uncultured bacterium. Its description in RNAcentral is "partial 16S ribosomal RNA". It matches the Rfam family "Bacterial small subunit ribosomal RNA", at positions 28 to 507 of the family's 1533-position model. The record is from RNAcentral.